GCAUAACGCGAAGAACCUUACCGGGUCUUGACAUGCAUCUUGUCGCUGGUGAAAGCCAGCUAGGUUAGCAAUAACCGAUUUGCACAGGUGCUGCAUGGUUGUCGUCAGCUCGUGUCGUGAGAUGUUGGGUUAAGUCCCGCAACGAGCGCAACCCCUGUGGUUUGUUGCCACCCGGUUUACCGGAGCACUCGAACCAGACUGCCUCGAUCAACGAGGAGGAAGGUGGGGAUGACGUCAAGUCCGUAUGGCCCUUACGACCAGGGCUGCACACGUACUACAAUGCCCAGCACAAUGUGAACCGAUACCGCGAGGUGGAGGAAAUCAGUAAAACUGGGCUCAGUUCAGAUUGGAGUCUGCAACUCGACUCCACGAAGUUGGAAUCGCUAGUAAUGGUGCAUCAGCUACGGCACCGUGAAUACGUUCCCGGGUCUUGUACACACCG
RNAcentral lists this ribosomal RNA (442 nucleotides) under uncultured bacterium. RNAcentral's name for it is "bacterial SSU rRNA". It matches the Rfam family "Bacterial small subunit ribosomal RNA", at positions 954 to 1392 of the family's 1533-position model. The record is from RNAcentral.